UACAGAGACUGCGAGCGUUAUUCGGAAUCACUGGGCGUAAAGGGUGCGCAGGCGGCCUGGCGCGUCGCGAGUGAAAUCUCCUGGCUCAACUGGGAGGGUGGUCGCGAGACGGCUGGGCUUGAGGCUCGGUGAGGGGCGUGGAAUUCCGGGUGGAGCGGUGAAAUGCGUAGAGAUCCGGAGGAACACCGACGGCGUAGGCAGCGCCCUAGACGAGACCUGACGCUCAGGCACGAAAGCGCGGGGAGCGAACAGG
This 253-nucleotide ribosomal RNA is filed under the name uncultured bacterium. Its description in RNAcentral is "partial 16S ribosomal RNA". It matches the Rfam family "Bacterial small subunit ribosomal RNA", at positions 524 to 776 of the family's 1533-position model. The record is from RNAcentral.